AUGAAGAGAUUUUUUUGGCUACAACAAUCGCACGAGCGGUGGUUGCUCAAAGGGGACUUGAACACUGACUAUUUCCAUCGUAUAGCGAAUGGACGUAAACGGAAAAACACAAUCCACUCCCUGAAGGUUGGUGAUUUGGAAAUAGAGAGCAUUGAUAAGCUGAUUGAGCAUGCCAUGGAGUUCUAUAAGGAACUGUUCGGUCCUGCUCCUGGUAAUCAGUUUCAUCUUGAUCCUGACACCUGGGCGCCUGAGGAAAAGAUGAGUGAGGAGGAUAACAAUAACCAGUGUAGAGAGUUUUCGGAGGAGGAGGUUAGAGAGGCCUUGUUUGACAUGGCCUCCAACAGGGCUCCAGGUGCUGAUAAUAUCCUGGUCGAAUUCUAUCAGGUAUGUUGGGAUAUAGUCCAGGAGGAUAUCAUGGCCUUGUUUAGACACUUUCAUCAAGGGACGUUCGAUGUUCAGCGGUUGAAUUAUGGGAUUAUCACGCUGCUCCCGAAGCUUUCUGGGGCUGACAAAAUCCAACAGUUCAGACCCAUAUGUUUGCUUAGAUGCCCCUACAAGCUCAUUACAAAAGUCCUAGAUCGCCGGGUGUCGGUGUAUGCCGACAAACUAAUUAGUCCAGUCCAGAAUGCUUUUGUCAAAGGGAGAAGCAUCAUGGAUGGUGUUCUCUCGCUCCAUGAGAUCCUUAAUUACACUCAUGUGAAGAAGAGAGUUGGCGUGGUGUUGAAACUGGACUUUGAAAAGGCAUAUGAUAAGGUUAAUUGGGACUUCUUGCUAGAGUGUCAUAAGAUGCGGGGCUUCAAUGAUACCUGGUGUGGGUGGAUUAAUCAGAUUCUUUGA
This 837-nucleotide ribosomal RNA is filed under the name Triticum aestivum (bread wheat). RNAcentral's name for it is "partial small subunit ribosomal RNA". Lineage: Eukaryota; Viridiplantae; Streptophyta; Magnoliopsida; Poales; Poaceae. The record is from RNAcentral.